CGGUGGAUCACUCGGCUCGUGGAUCGAUGAAGAACGCAGCAAACUGCGCGUCGAAGUGUGAGCUGCAGGACACAUGAACAUCGACGUUUCUAACGCACAUUGCGGCCCA
Molecule: ribosomal RNA, 109 nt
Filed under: Leucorrhinia pectoralis
Lineage: Eukaryota; Metazoa; Arthropoda; Insecta; Odonata; Libellulidae
Description: 5.8S ribosomal RNA
Rfam family: 5.8S ribosomal RNA
About the family: 5.8S ribosomal RNA (5.8S rRNA) is a component of the large subunit of the eukaryotic ribosome.
Source: RNAcentral